Molecule: ribosomal RNA, 484 nt
Filed under: uncultured bacterium
Lineage: Bacteria
Description: partial 16S ribosomal RNA
Rfam family: Bacterial small subunit ribosomal RNA
Source: RNAcentral
AUUGAACGCUGGCGGCAGGCCUAACACAUGCAAGUCGAGCGGAUGAAGGGAGCUUGCUCCUGGAUUCAGCGGCGGACGGGUGAGUAAUGCCUAGGAAUCUGCCUGGUAGUGGGGGAUAACGUCCGGAAACGGGCGCUAAUACCGCAUACGUCCUGAGGGAGAAAGUGGGGGAUCUUCGGACCUCACGCUAUCAGAUGAGCCUAGGUCGGAUUAGCUAGUUGGUGGGGUAAAGGCCUACCAAGGCGACGAUCCGUAACUGGUCUGAGAGGAUGAUCAGUCACACUGGAACUGGGACACGGUCCAGACUCCUACGGGAGGCAGCAGUGGGGAAUAUUGGACAAUGGGCGAAAGCCUGAUCCAGCCAUGCCGCGUGUGUGAAGAAGGUCUUCGGAUUGUAAAGCACUUUAAGUUGGGAGAAAGGGCAGUAGGUUAAUACCAUGCUGUUUUGACGUUACCAACAGAAUAAGCACCGGCUAACUUCGUG